This 107-nucleotide small nucleolar RNA is filed under the name Olea europaea subsp. europaea. RNAcentral describes it as "Plant small nucleolar RNA R71". It matches the Rfam family "Plant small nucleolar RNA R71". From Rfam's summary of the family: R71 is a member of the C/D box family of snoRNAs containing the C (UGAUGA) and D (CUGA) box motifs. Multiple nearly identical copies of this snoRNA have been identified in Arabidopsis, and it is thought to function as a 2'-O-ribose methylation guide for 18S ribosomal RNA. The record is from Rfam by way of RNAcentral. Lineage: Eukaryota; Viridiplantae; Streptophyta; Magnoliopsida; Lamiales; Oleaceae.
AUCCCAUGGUGUGGACACUUUUGCAGCAUAUUCUUGAAUCGAUUCCAGGCUUCAUCGAAAUUCUUCGAGUCUCCUUGGCGAAAAAUAGAGAUAUCGUGUUUGAACUU